Engraulis encrasicolus (European anchovy) is the source of this 1093-nucleotide long non-coding RNA. RefSeq lists it as uncharacterized. NCBI's taxonomy places the organism in Eukaryota, Metazoa, Chordata, Actinopteri, Clupeiformes, Engraulidae. The record is from RefSeq and is a predicted model, not a curated record. The transcript is spliced from 4 exons.
GUUGCUGCAGAGGAAAGAGAUGGCUUCACUGCUGACGGGGUCCCAUCAAUUGAUGUGUCAAGAAGAAGUUGCAGAGCCUUGGUCAAACCAGAGGUUGCCAGGAUGUCAAACCCUGGGUGGGAAGUAUAAUAAACCAUCUGUACUGGGCUGUGGUCUCGACACCUCCUGGCAAUGUUCAACUUGUGGUGGACAAAUGGACAUCAGUUAUGGAUCACAUCCACAACAGGCAUACCGGGUUCGAGGGACUGUUCUCUUCUUGUGCACACGGAGUCUCGGAAGGCAGGGAACAGCGUAAACCAUGGCUGAAAUAUCAUACAAAGGUGUCUUUUGAGGUUGAGAAGAUCAUCCGGAACAAGAGGCUGUGUGCAGAUGUACAACGCCUGUCCCCGUCACACCAGACAUCCUACGUAGAAGCAUUCCACAGCCUGAUUACACACUUUGCGCCUAAGAUGUGCCACUUUUCAUACAAAGGGAUGGAGAGCAGGCUAUGCUGAAGAGCUGAUGCGGAUGGUGGAGGCCAUGUGUCGAGGUGAAUACUACAGCUGUGAUGACUUUGACAUUCCAGACCCAUCCCCUGUUCCAGAGCCACUGAGUGCAUCAUGUGAAAAGCCGGAUAAGAGGGCAGCAGUCAGUACACACACAACCCGCUUUAGCACCACAAACAACCCUUCAAUAUAGACAUUACCAAAAGUUUGAUGCAGGUAAUUCCAAAACCACAGUACAGGGUGUGUUGGAAGGACACUUUUUUUCACACUUAUGCAUACAAAUGGUUCCAACUCAGGUGACUUAUCUGAGUAAAAAGUAGACCAAUGUACUUGUCUUAUGUUCAGCUGAUUCUCCACUGGUUGGAUUGAGUUUGUGGUGAUAGUAUGUGUAAUUCUGCUCCAGCAGGGGGCACCAAAGCUACACACACACCAUCUGGUGUGAACCAGGCCAGGUCCUGGUUAGUUUUUUAGUGUUUUUUUAGUAAUGACAGUCUCGCUGUGCAUAAGGUACAAUGGCAUGAAUGGUGUUACAGUUAUGUAAUAUGUGCUACUGUUGUAAUUACACCACAAAUGUACUCAUACUUUUGUUUAAAAUUGGACAGAGCUGG